Molecule: long non-coding RNA, 221 nt
Organism: Pipistrellus kuhlii (Kuhl's pipistrelle)
Lineage: Eukaryota; Metazoa; Chordata; Mammalia; Chiroptera; Vespertilionidae
Exons: 3
Source: RefSeq, a predicted model, not a curated record
CACACAGCGGGGUGUCGGGGACGGGAGCCCGGCGGGGGAGGGGCGGCGGCCGCAGUGCGCGCUCCCGGGAGCGCAGAUGGAGAGGGGGCGCCGGCGCGCGCCGCGGGCUGAGCCUGCGCGCCCCCGCCCGGGGCUAUAAAAGCCUGGGCACCUGCGGCCACGGAGCUUCCGGUCGUCCGGAGCAGCCACUGCACCCUCUCCAGCGCCAGCUCCGCUCGCCA